AUGCAGUGAUGAUCUCUUAAAUGGUGGUUUCAACUCACUGAUUGUUGAAUGAAGACGUGAAUUUCCUUGGCUGUGUCUGAGCAU
Small nucleolar RNA from Accipiter nisus (Eurasian sparrowhawk), 84 nucleotides. NCBI's taxonomy places the organism in Eukaryota, Metazoa, Chordata, Aves, Accipitriformes, Accipitridae. The record is from Ensembl.